UACGGGGGGGGCAAGCGUUGUUCGGAAUUACUGGGCGUAAAGGGCUCGUAGGCGGCCAACUAAGUCAUACGUGAAAGCCCCGGGCUCAACCUGGGAAUUGCAUUUGAGACUGCGUAGCUAGGGUGCGGAAGAGGGAAGCGGAAUUUCCGGUGUAGCGGUGAAAUGCGUAGAUAUCGGAAGGAACACCAGUGGCGAAAGCGGCUUCCUGGUCCAGCACCGACGUUCAGGCACGAAAGCGUGGGGAGCAAACAGG
RNAcentral lists this ribosomal RNA (253 nucleotides) under uncultured bacterium. RNAcentral's name for it is "partial 16S ribosomal RNA". It matches the Rfam family "Bacterial small subunit ribosomal RNA", at positions 524 to 776 of the family's 1533-position model. The record is from RNAcentral.